GACGAACGCUGGCGGCGUGCUUAACACAUGCAAGUCGAACGGAAAGGCCCUGCUUUUGUGGGGUGCUCGAGUGGCGAACGGGUGAGUAACACGUGAGUAACCUGCCCUUGACUUUGGGAUAACUUCAGGAAACUGGGGCUAAUACCGGAUAGGAGCUCCUGCUGCAUGGUGGGGGUUGGAAAGUUUCGGCGGUUGGGGAUGGACUCGCGGCUUAUCAGCUUGUUGGUGGGGUAGUGGCUUACCAAGGCUUUGACGGGUAGCCGGCCUGAGAGGGUGACCGGCCACAUUGGGACAGAGAUACGGCCCAGACUCCUACGGGAGGCAGCAGUGGGGAAUAUUGCACAAUGGGCGGAAGCCUGAUGCAGCAACGCAGCGUGCGGGAUGACGGCCUUCGGGUUGUAAACCGCUUUCGCCUGUGACGAAGCGUGAGUGACGGUAAUGGGUAAAGAAGCACCGGCUAACUACGUG
This 468-nucleotide ribosomal RNA is filed under the name uncultured bacterium. RNAcentral describes it as "partial 16S ribosomal RNA". It matches the Rfam family "Bacterial small subunit ribosomal RNA", at positions 28 to 507 of the family's 1533-position model. The record is from RNAcentral.